AAAAACUUUUACACAAUCGUAUAGAAAGAAAAAAAGAAAAAACUGAACCAAUUUAAAGUUUUACGAAAAUGUAGAACCCUUGGCUACUAUACGUAUCAUCUUCAUAAUUUUUUACCGACAAUUUUUUUCUUUAAAAAGAAAAAUCCACGAUCUAGAGUUCUUUGUUUUCCAUGAUCCUCAAAUAAGCUUCCCACUUUCAUCACUUUCAUCAACUCAUUUUUUUCAAAUCACCAUAUAUAUCACAAUUCUCUUCUCAGUUUCACCAAACCACCACCACUAAAUCUGCAAAAACUGAAGCUACUUUUACCAACAUGACAAUUUUCAAUCACAUCUCGGAACCGUUCUUUUUGCUUGACCGCUGAGCCCGAACAUUAAAAAAUCCCAUUCCAUCCUCACCGCCCUUGAAGCUUCCCACCAUUUUCAUUGUCUUCUUUCUUUAUUCAGAAGGUACGAUUGUGGUUGUUUGCUACAUGAAGCUUGAUUUCACGUGGUGCAUAUGCUACAAAUACAUUUGAAGUUCUUCUUUGUUUUGGCGUUAUUGAUGAUUCGGGAGUUUGUGUGAGUAAACAGUUUUAUGUAUAGGUAGCAGUAGCACCACAACUUUGAAAGAAAGAGAGGAAGCACCAGAGAAAAUGGAGAGAAAUGUGAAGAUGAAUAAUAUAUAUUAUUUGAUCACAAAACAUCAUAGUGUAAGUAACAUUUAUAUUUUUGUUAUUCAUAUACUUACACCAAAAAUAAACAAUUAAACAAACUGUUUUUACUUUUUAGUUUUUACUAACAUUUUUAAUGAGUCAACCAACAAAUUAUAUUGUAAAGUACUUAAGGAUAUAUUUACUAUAUUACAGAUU
Long non-coding RNA from Camelina sativa (false flax), 848 nucleotides. RefSeq lists it as uncharacterized. NCBI's taxonomy places the organism in Eukaryota, Viridiplantae, Streptophyta, Magnoliopsida, Brassicales, Brassicaceae. The record is from RefSeq and is a predicted model, not a curated record.